UGCUUUGUAGCAAUACGAAGUAUCCUAGUGGCGAACGGGUGAGUAACGCGUUGGUGACCUACCCCAAAGUGUGGGAUAACAGUCCGAAAGGAUUGCUAAUACCGCAUGUGGUUAUUGGAUCUAGAAACCGAUAACUAAAGGAGCAAUUCGCUUUGGGAGGGACCUGCGUCCCAUCAGCUAGUUGGUGAGGUAACGGCUCACCAAGGCGACGACGGGUAGGGGACCUGAGAGGGUGACCCCCCACAAUGGAACUGAAACACGGUCCAUACACCUACGGGUGGCAGCAGUAGGGAAUAUUGGUCAAUGGGCGAAAGCCUGAACCAGCAACGCCGCGUGUGCGAUGAAGGCCUUCGGG
RNAcentral lists this ribosomal RNA (355 nucleotides) under uncultured bacterium. RNAcentral describes it as "bacterial SSU rRNA". It matches the Rfam family "Bacterial small subunit ribosomal RNA", at positions 70 to 422 of the family's 1533-position model. The record is from RNAcentral.